GCCACAAAGAGAGAGAGAAAAGAUGGCGGCCAGAUAUGUCUGUGUGCUGGUCAUCUCUGCAGGUUGGUGGCUUCACAUCUGAUCACAAUAAAUUGAUCAUUACAGCAAAAUCAUUACAAUAAAUAUCAGUUAUGAACAGGGAACCAAUAAGAUUUCUUACUCCUGGGUUUAGACUGGGAAGUCACUAUAUGUCUUUACUGUCUUACCUAAAGAUCUGGGACACUGAAACAUCACAGAGUAACAGCCCAAUGAUCAGCUACAGUAUAACUGUGGGUGAGGGUGAUGGAUGAAUAUAAAUAAUUCCAAAUAUUACCAAAUUUAACACAUCACACGUUUUACCAUAAUCUCUUGCUUAGACACCAUUCACAAUAAAACCAAAAACCUAUGGGUGAUCAAAAGAUAAAGAUCCAUCAGUACCUGUUCCAUCUUACUAAUCUAUUUAGUAUUUAUGUCUUCUUUAUGUUUUUUAUGUAUAGGGGUGAUCAGUUUGAAUGGAAUACUGGCAUCUUGGAUAAUGGGGUUUCAACACUCUGAGAUUAGACAGAAGUCUUCCAUAAAGUCAUUCACAAUCAACUCAGAUGCAGCUCAAACAGAGAUGACAACAUUAGUGAGUACAUUAGAUGUGACAAAAGGUGUGUCGAACUCGCCAAAGACACAAAUAAUCACAAACAUUCCUGAAACUGCAUCAGUGAAUAUGAUGUCUGGAUCAUCUGUGGUAUCAAAAGCAUCAUCCGUUGCUAUUGCUGAACCCUCUCGGCAAACAACAGCUGAGAUGGCAGCAGUGAGUGCAGCUGGGGCAGUCAGAUCUACAGCUGCGGGAACAAUCGUCUUGUCUGAGACUAUAGAGAAAGUUACGAUUUUACUUGGAACGAAAAAGGCAGAAAGACAGGAAACAGCAGAAACAACUCCAGGUGAAACAGUCACCACAUAUAAACAAACAAAAGAACAUGCCAGUGUGGAAACACUGACAAAUACAGCUCAAAAACCACCUGAACCUGAGAGCAUAAGUGAUAGUGAUAUCAUACAAACAUAUGAAAGAGAAACAGGUGUGACAAUAUUUGAGAAACCAUCAGAAAAAAACACCAUACCAAAACUAGGAUCAGAGACAACCAGAUUUGCUCCAACUAUAACAGCUACAGCUAAUAUCAGGAGUGCAACUCCGAUACCUGAACCAGUGACAGACAGAGGAACAAAUUUCACUAACAACAAACUGAAAACGUCAAAAAUCACCCCUGAAAAUAAAGCAACAACAAAAACUAGACCAGACAUUACAUUUAGGAAAGCAGCGGUUAUGACUGAAACAAAAGUAGAUUUAACUGAAGGACAACCAGGACCAAGCACCAUCAUAAAAAGACAAAAAACAGCAGGAACGGAGCCAUCUAAAGUUGAAACAAGUGAAAAAAACACAGUUAGACCACAAAAAUCUUUUCAAGCUAUACAAACGUCAAAUGGUCCAACAAUAAAUGAGGCUAGUGGCAUAAAUCUUAUAACUAUGAUUCAAACUGCCACUAGAAAACAAGACAAAAGAGUGGGGAAACAAUUAAGUACAGCUGGUACGGGCGUAGAAACAAUAAAAUCAAAUGUAUUAACAACAAUAAAAUCCACCGUGAAUGAUUUAAACGCUAUUUCACCAAAGAGACGGACUGCUAAAGUGAUCGACAAGUUGACAACUCAGUCACACAAGUCUGUAUCACCUUGUACAGGCAAAUGUCAAACCAAAUCUACUACUAGGAACAAUAGAGACAGACGAGGCCAGGCAAUGAAGCCCCUGUCCUAUGAUAAAACCUUUUACUCUGCUAUCACUAUGGGUAGCAUCCUGGUUAUAUGUGGCCUUCUAGCACUUGUUGUGUUUAUAAAGGAUUUUACUGGGCACAAAUAA
Long non-coding RNA from Cyprinus carpio carpio, 1879 nucleotides. The record is from Ensembl. Lineage: Eukaryota; Metazoa; Chordata; Actinopteri; Cypriniformes; Cyprinidae.